This 305-nucleotide non-coding RNA is filed under the name Homo sapiens (human). The record is from RNAcentral. Lineage: Eukaryota; Metazoa; Chordata; Mammalia; Primates; Hominidae.
UUUCGGAGCAACAUCCCCUGUCACCUGGUUGAUAUCUCUUGCGGAUUACCCUGCAGUGCCACGCUACCAUGUGGGAUGCACAAAUGUCAGAGACUCUGUCACAAAGGGGAGUGUCUUGUGGAUGAGCCCUGCAAGCAGCCCUGCACCACCCCCAGAGCUGACUGUGGUCACCCGUGUAUGGCACCCUGCCAUACCAGCUCACCCUGCCCUGUGACUGCUUGUAAAGCUAAGGUAGAGCUACAGUGUGAAUGUGGACGAAGAAAAGAGAUGGUGAUUUGCUCUGAAGCAUCUAGUACUUAUCAAAG